AUUGAACGCUGGCGGCAGGCCUAACACAUGCAAGUCGAGCGGAUGAAGGGAGCUUGCUCCUGGAUUCAGCGGCGGACGGGUGAGUAAUGCCUAGGAAUCUGCCUGGUAGUGGGGGAUAACGUCCGGAAACGGGCGCUAAUACCGCAUACGUCCUGAGGGAGAAAGUGGGGGAUCUUCGGACCUCACGCUAUCAGAUGAGCCUAGGUCGGAUUAGCUAGUUGGUGUGGUAAAGGCCUACCAAGGCGACGAUCCGUAACUGGUCUGAGAGGAUGAUCAGUCACACUGGAACUGAGACACGGUCCAGACUCCUACGGGAGGCAGCAGUGGGGAAUAUUGGACAAUGGGCGAAAGCCUGAUCCAGCCAUGCCGCGUGUGUGAAGAAGGUCUUCGGAUUGUAAAGCACUUUAAGUUGGGAGGAAGGGCAGUAAGUUAAUACCUUGCUGUUUUGACGUUACCAACAGAAUAAGCACCGGCUAACUUCGUG
Molecule: ribosomal RNA, 484 nt
Filed under: uncultured bacterium
Lineage: Bacteria
Description: partial 16S ribosomal RNA
Rfam family: Bacterial small subunit ribosomal RNA
Source: RNAcentral